GACGAGCGCUGGCGGCGUGCCUAAUACAUGCAAGUUGAGCGAUGAAGAUUGGUGCUUGCACCAAUUUGAAGAGCAGCGAACGGGUGAGUAACGCGUGGGGAAUCUGCCUUUGAGCGGGGGACAACAUUUGGAAACGAAUGCUAAUACCGCAUAAUAACUUUAAACAUAAGUUUUAAGUUUGAAAGAUGCAAUUGCAUCACUCAAAGAUGAUCCCGCGUUGUAUUAGCUAGUUGGUGAGGUAAAGGCUCACCAAGGCGAUGAUACAUAGCCGACCUGAGAGGGUGAUCGGCCACAUUGGGACUGAGACACGGCCCAAACUCCUACGGGAGGCAGCAGUAGGGAAUCUUCGGCAAUGGACGAAAGUCUGACCGAGCAACGCCGCGUGAGUGAAGAAGGUUUUCGGAUCGUAAAACUCUGUUGGUAGAGAAGAAUGUUGGUGAGAGUGGAAAGCUCAUCAAGUGACGGUAACUACCCAGAAAGGGACGGCUAACUACGUG
This 497-nucleotide ribosomal RNA is filed under the name uncultured bacterium. Its description in RNAcentral is "partial 16S ribosomal RNA". It matches the Rfam family "Bacterial small subunit ribosomal RNA", at positions 28 to 507 of the family's 1533-position model. The record is from RNAcentral.